Molecule: ribosomal RNA, 433 nt
Filed under: uncultured bacterium
Lineage: Bacteria
Description: partial 16S ribosomal RNA
Rfam family: Bacterial small subunit ribosomal RNA
Source: RNAcentral
AACGAACGCUGGCGGCAUGCCUAACACAUGCAAGUCGAACGAGACCUUCGGGUCUAUUGGCGUACGGGGGCGUAACGCGUGGGAACCUGCCCUUAGGUUCGGAAUAACUCCCCGAAAGGGGUGCUAAUACCGGAUAAUGUCUUCGGACCAAAGAUUUAUCGCCUUUGGAUGGGCCCGCGUUGGAUUAGCUAGUUGGUAGGGUAAAGGCCUACCAAGGCGACGAUCCAUAGCUGGUCUGAGAGGAUGAUCAGCCACACUGGGACUGAGACACGGCCCAGACUCCUACGGGAGGCAGCAGUGGGGAAUAUUGGACAAUGGGCGAAAGCCUGAUCCAGCAAUGCCGCGUGAGUGAUGAAGGCCUUAGGGUUGUAAAGCUCUUUUACCCGGGAUGAUAAUGACAGUACCGGGAGAAUAAGCCCCGGCUAACUCCGUG